Molecule: long non-coding RNA, 754 nt
Filed under: Theobroma cacao (cacao)
Lineage: Eukaryota; Viridiplantae; Streptophyta; Magnoliopsida; Malvales; Malvaceae
Description: long non-coding RNA (TCAC_LNC000817)
Source: RNAcentral
NGGAGAAGGGUAAUCAAGCUUGCCAUUGAAAGUUGUUUGAGACUCGAGAUCAGUGCGGUUUCUGGCAUUGGAGGACAAUGAUCUUGGCCUGAGAAAUCUCUCAAAGAUAGCCAUAACAAGGAACAUUGAUAUGAGAAUUGCAGUGGCUACAAAACCAAAGGAAACCGCAUUCACUGAGUUGUCAAAACGUCUCCAGUGCUCUUCCCUUUCUAAAUUCAGUGGAGCCACUGUUGGCGGCACCGUGUCCCAGUAAUCUUGAGCACCCAUCUAAAAAACCCAAGCUUAAAAGCAGCCACCACCCUCUCUUUCUCUCAUUUACAAAAGAACCAAAGCAGAAGAAACCAGGAAAAACAAACCCCAAAAAGAGAAAACAAGUAAACAGGGAAGAAUAUCAGAGAGCAAUCCCGUGUAUAGUUUUCUCCUUUAUGACAUGCAUGGCUUUGGUGCUAAUUGAGCAUUACCAAAACAGAAGUUGUUGAGAGUAGAGACACAGGAAUCUUAUUUUUUUUUUUUCUGAAGGCUUUUGCUUAUAUUAGGACCAAGACUUGUGUGCUUCUUCAAGGAGAGAAGAUGAAGAAAAAAAGUGGGUGAUUGGGAGUGGUAAGAACAGAGGUUAGCGGAGGUUGGAAAAGGGCGCCUGUCUGAAAAGAGAGCUUUAUGUACUAACCUCUUACAUAAUAAGCUAUGCUGCUUUGGGAAAACAAAAUAGACCCCAGCAUCUGCAUGUACUAUUUUCCUGUGAAGAUACUACCCA